This 24-nucleotide microRNA is filed under the name Drosophila melanogaster (fruit fly). RNAcentral describes it as "dme-miR-2498-5p". The record is from miRBase by way of RNAcentral. Lineage: Eukaryota; Metazoa; Arthropoda; Insecta; Diptera; Drosophilidae.
UAAAGGCUGUUAUGCUUAUUUUUG